GGAGCGGGUGCAGGACCCCGG
RNAcentral lists this microRNA (21 nucleotides) under Bos taurus (domestic cattle). RNAcentral describes it as "bta-miR-2302". The record is from miRBase by way of RNAcentral. Lineage: Eukaryota; Metazoa; Chordata; Mammalia; Artiodactyla; Bovidae.